Molecule: ribosomal RNA, 464 nt
Filed under: uncultured bacterium
Lineage: Bacteria
Description: bacterial SSU rRNA
Rfam family: Bacterial small subunit ribosomal RNA
Source: RNAcentral
CCAGACUCCUACGGGAGGCAGCAGUGAGGAAUAUUGGUCAAUGGGCGAGAGCCUGAACCAGCCAAGUCGCGUGAGGGAAGACGGUCCUAUGGAUUGUAAACCUCUUUUGCCGGGGAGCAAAAAGCGGUACGUGUACCGCAUCGAGAGUACCCGGAGAAAAAGCAUCGGCUAACUCCGUGCCAGCAGCCGCGGUAAUACGGAGGAUGCGAGCGUUAUCCGGAUUUAUUGGGUUUAAAGGGUGCGCAGGCGGCGAGUUAAGUCAGCGGUAAAAUUUCGGGGCUCAACCCCGGCCUGCCGUCGGAACUGGGUGCCUUGAGUGGGCGAGAAGUAUGCGGAAUGCGUGGUGUAGCGGUGAAAUGCAUAGAUAUCACGCAGAACCCCGAUUGCGAAGGCAGCAUACCGGCGCCCUACUGACGCUGAGGCACGAAAGUGCGGGUAUCGAACAGGAUUAGAUACCCGCGUAU